UUUUCUAUAUAUUGUUGCAAAUAAGCAAUGAGAGAGACUGAUCUGUCAUUAUCACUGUCAUAAUACAGGCCGGACUCCAGACCUGACAGAUGAAAUAAAGAAUUUAUUUGUGGAAAUAUGUAAAGAACAUGGAAUUAGUAAGGAUCAAAUUGUGGACCUGAGCAAGGAGGAUCGAUGCUAGACGCUUAGAUAAAGAUCAUCUUGGCAUGCAGCUUCUACUUCCUACA
This 227-nucleotide long non-coding RNA is filed under the name Monodelphis domestica (gray short-tailed opossum). RNAcentral's name for it is "lncRNA (ENSMODG00000048893.1)". Lineage: Eukaryota; Metazoa; Chordata; Mammalia; Didelphimorphia; Didelphidae. The record is from RNAcentral.